This 73-nucleotide transfer RNA is filed under the name Bacteroides ovatus. RNAcentral describes it as "tRNA-Gly". It matches the Rfam family "tRNA". Rfam says of the family: Transfer RNA (tRNA) molecules are approximately 80 nucleotides in length. The record is from RNAcentral. RNAcentral also lists the same sequence under 6 other names. Lineage: Bacteria; Pseudomonadati; Bacteroidota; Bacteroidia; Bacteroidales; Bacteroidaceae.
GCGGAAAUAGCUCAGUUGGUAGAGCAUAACCUUGCCAAGGUUAGGGUCGCGAGUUCGAAUCUCGUUUUCCGCU